AGGGUGUAAACGCUGCAGACUUGGUGUUGGAGGCCCUUUGGGGGCAUUCAGUGCCGGAGAGAAGUUGUUAAGUCUGCUACUUGGGAGUACGUCCGCAAGGAUGAAACUUAAAGGAAUUGGCGGGGGAGCACCGCAACGGGAGGAGCGUGCGGUUUAAUUGGAUUCAACACCGUAAAACUCACCAGGGAAGACUGUUACAUGAAGGCCGAGAUGAAGACUCUGCUAGAUUUUCAGAGAGGAGGUGCAUGGCGUCAGUG
This 257-nucleotide ribosomal RNA is filed under the name uncultured archaeon. RNAcentral's name for it is "partial 16S ribosomal RNA". It matches the Rfam family "Archaeal small subunit ribosomal RNA", at positions 748 to 1005 of the family's 1478-position model. The record is from RNAcentral.